GAAUUGCGAUAUGUAUUGUGAAUUGCAGAUUUUCGUGAAUCAUCAAAUCUUUGAACGCACAUUGCGCCCUCUGGUAUUCCAGGGGGCAUGCCUGUUUGAGCGUCAUUUCUCUCUCAAACCUUUGGGUUUGGUAGUGAGUGAUACUCGUCUCGGGUUAACUUGAAAGUGGCUAGCCGUUGCCAUCUGCGUGAGCAGGGCUGCGUGUCAAGUCUAUGGACUCGACUCUUGCACAUCUACGUCUUAGGUUUGCGCCAAUUCGUGGUAAGCUUGGGUCAUAGAGACUCAUAGGUGUUAUAAAGACUCGCUGGUGUUUGUCUCCUUGAGGCAUACGGCUUUAACCAAAACUCUCAAAGUUUGACCUCAAAUCAGGUAGGAGUACCCGCUGAACUUAA
RNAcentral lists this unclassified non-coding RNA (392 nucleotides) under compost metagenome. RNAcentral's name for it is "partial contains 5.8S ribosomal RNA, internal transcribed spacer 2, and large subunit ribosomal RNA". The stretch from base 1 to 105 matches the Rfam family "5.8S ribosomal RNA", at positions 50 to 154 of the family's 154-position model. RNAcentral also lists the same sequence under 1 other name. The record is from RNAcentral.